AUUGAACGCUGGCGGCAGGCCUAACACAUGCAAGUCGAGCGGAUGAAGGGAGCUUGCUCCUGGAUUCAGUGGCGGACGGGUGAGUAAUGCCUAGGAAUCUGCCUGGUAGCGGGGGAUAACGUCCGGAAACGGGCGCUAAUACCACAUACGUCCUGAGGGAGAAAGUGGGGGAUCUUCGGACCUCACGCUAUCAGAUGAGCCUAGGUCGGAUUAGCUAGUUGGUGGGGUAAAGGCCUACCAAGGCGACGAUCCGUAACUGGUCUGAGAGGAUGAUCAGUCACACUGGAACUGAGACACGGUCCAGACUCCUACGGGAGGCAGCAGUGGGGAAUAUUGGACAAUGGGCGAAAGCCUGAUCCAGCCAUGCCGCGUGUGUGAAGAAGGUCUUCGGAUUGUAAAGCACUUUAAGUUGGGAGGAAGGGCAGUAAGUUAAUACCUUGCUGUUUUGACGUUACCAACAGAAUAAGCACCGGCUAACUUCGUG
RNAcentral lists this ribosomal RNA (484 nucleotides) under uncultured bacterium. Its description in RNAcentral is "partial 16S ribosomal RNA". It matches the Rfam family "Bacterial small subunit ribosomal RNA", at positions 30 to 507 of the family's 1533-position model. The record is from RNAcentral.